Molecule: ribosomal RNA, 433 nt
Filed under: uncultured bacterium
Lineage: Bacteria
Description: bacterial SSU rRNA
Rfam family: Bacterial small subunit ribosomal RNA
Source: RNAcentral
AACGCGAAGAACCUUACCUGGUCUUGACAUCCACGGAAGUUUUCAGAGAUGAGAAUGUGCCUUCGGGAACCGUGAGACAGGUGCUGCAUGGCUGUCGUCAGCUCGUGUUGUGAAAUGUUGGGUUAAGUCCCGCAACGAGCGCAACCCUUAUCCUUUGUUGCCAGCGGUCCGGCCGGGAACUCAAAGGAGACUGCCAGUGAUAAACUGGAGGAAGGUGGGGAUGACGUCAAGUCAUCAUGGCCCUUACGUCCAGGGCUACACACGUGCUACAAUGGCGCAUACAAAGAGAAGCGACCUCGCGAGAGCAAGCGGACCUCAUAAAGUGCGUCGUAGUCCGGAUUGGAGUCUGCAACUCGACUCCAUGAAGUCGGAAUCGCUAGUAAUCGUGGAUCAGAAUGCCACGGUGAAUACGUUCCCGGCCUUGUACACACCG